UCCUAUUUCUCUUCUCCCAGCUCUGUUUGCCAUUCACACAUGCCACUUGUCCACACUGCCUGCCGGAUGGGGCGGAAUGCCACCUGGGAACACCGAAGCCCUUUUCCCAUAAACUUUGAUGCUGAUCUACCGCUGAUUCCUGGCCAGGAGGUUUGGGGCGGGGUCGGGGGUUGGGGGGGACGACAACAAAAUACAUAGAAAAGGGAGAAAAGCUAAAAUUGGCGAAGAUGCUAGAACCUGCUGGUAAGCUUUGCAAAAUAAGAAAACUAGGUUUUUCUGGGAGCUGACUGAGUAGAGGUGUAGGUCAGGAAAUCACAUGGAACAAGACCAGAUGGUGUGGGCUGGCGCUGCUCGCAGGCUUGGCUCUCCCUACUCUCCUAGGAGCUAGCAGUCAGGCAACCACAGCGCCGAGAAUUUCCUAGCAAAGUCCUUUGUUCAAACAUUUUCUCCGUUUUAUUCGUUAAUUCACUGAUAGUUUUCCAGCAUUAACUACAACGUUAAUUGGGCUUCCUCUGAGCCACAUGUUAUACUUAGCACUUUACAAGAGUUAUCUCAUGUAAGGCGCUCAAAAACCUUGCAAAGUUUCAGAUCUUCUGGACGCCACAUGAUGCACUAGGCGUCCUUGGGCUUUGCUGUCAGAUAAACUCGAGGUGGCCCGUGCCCCCACCUCCCGUCCCUGCAACCUGGUAUACAUCCAUGGCGUGGCUUGGAGUCUCAGCACCGCCCUCACGGGCUCUGCGGCAUUGAGAUGCACAGUGCCUGGCAGCUAGUCAGCGCCCAAUGGGCAGGAAGUCCUUUAAAAGCUCCCAGCCUAAAAGACAACCUGACAGAUCGAACUGUUUCAACGUUAAAGUGAUUACGCAAGCAUAGUGAGCAUGAAUGGUAUUCAUUUAUAUCCCAAAUGAGAAAACAUGGAUUUUUUUUAAAACUACCAAAUAUAAUCUCCUAAGACCUCAUUUAUAGAAUGAAGUGAUUACUAGUUGGACUUAUCUUUCAAGAACUCUUUAUGAUUAGUUAUUUCUUUAAAUUUUUUCUUAUUUUUUAAAAAAAUAAAAU
RNAcentral lists this long non-coding RNA (1056 nucleotides) under Equus asinus (donkey). RNAcentral's name for it is "lncRNA (ENSEASG00005038567.1)". Lineage: Eukaryota; Metazoa; Chordata; Mammalia; Perissodactyla; Equidae. The record is from RNAcentral.